Molecule: long non-coding RNA, 1010 nt
Organism: Rhagoletis pomonella (apple maggot)
Lineage: Eukaryota; Metazoa; Arthropoda; Insecta; Diptera; Tephritidae
Exons: 2
Source: RefSeq, a predicted model, not a curated record
AAGCAAAAACAAAAUACAAGUAAUUGUUGUAUUUGUUGAAUCGAUACCACCUUAUAUGAAUUCGCCUUGGUAUAAGUAUCACAAUCAUUUUUCACGCAAACGGUCUGGAUCAUUCUUGUUGGAGUGGCAGCACUAAUUUUACACUACUAGCACGAGGAAGACGAAAAUAUAAAAAUGAACUCACUAAAUGGGGAAAAAUACAUUUAAACGAAAUAAUAUGCACUUCAAGAAAUAUUUAGCGUAAAGGAAAUUUAUUGGAGCAAUGGCAGAACAUAUGUUUGUGUAUAAAUUCAUUUGUCAGUGCUACCAAACCGUACUGCCAUAUUAUCAGUGACACAAACCAAAAAGAGCGGAUCAUAAAUUGAACCAGAUCUCUAUCAGGAUCUUAUCGUUGUUGUUGCAUUUGCAUGCUAAUUUUUAUCCGGAUCCCGAUCAUUGCCCACGGAAACACAGCAAUUUUUGCCAAACAAAAUUUCUGCAUAACACCGACCUAACCCAUCAAAAGCAUACAUAUCCAUAUUUAUACAUAUAUAUAGAAAUAUGUAUUCAGAUCUCUGCGCAUUAGUAUAUAUUUUGCUAUCAUUUCAAGAGAGUUGUGCAACGUUUUCGCUUCCUUGUAGUUUUAACUUGGAGAGUGGCUAAAUAAAAGCUUGUAAAAGUCGCGUUUUAUAUACUUUAGUGACUAGUAAAUAAUAAGACACUGAUUUAUUUAGCAGUCGUCGAGCAUAGGCGCAAGUAUUUAUAUAUGUAAGUAUGUAUGUAUGUAAAUAUAGCUGAAAGCGACGUGAAGUCCAAGCAUGCCAACAAAUAUUGAUGAAAACGCAGAGAAAGACAAUUUCAAAGCAGCACAGCACAUCCACAUCCAACCGUAGCUCAUUUUGCCACAUAAUCGAGAUCGAGAGCGCCUCUAAACACAACAAACGUAAUAACCAGAAACAAGCUUCCAGUUAGUCAGGCAGAGGCAGAUAGGCAUAGCAGUGUCGCGCGCAUACAUACAAUUUUGUGAAUCG